GGAAUCUUCCACAAUGGACGAAAGUCUGAUGGAGCAACGCCGCGUGUGUGAUGAAGGGUUUCGGCUCGUAAAACACUGUUGUAAGAGAAGAAUGACAUUGAGAGUAACUGUUCAAUGUGUGACGGUAUCUUACCAGAAAGGAACGGCUAAAUACGUGCCAC
RNAcentral lists this ribosomal RNA (161 nucleotides) under uncultured bacterium. RNAcentral's name for it is "partial 16S rRNA". It matches the Rfam family "Bacterial small subunit ribosomal RNA", at positions 358 to 511 of the family's 1533-position model. The record is from RNAcentral.